GAUAAAAGAGGUUGUCUAUUUCGCAAUCACAACUGCAUUUCCAUUCUGACGAGAGAACAAGCCCUUGGCGUAGUAUCUUAAGCCUGGAUCUCUCUAUUGUGAAGUGAAAGGGAAACCCAGAACGUCUGAGAGGUUGCCUGGCUAGCGAUCCAAGUGUAUUCCCCUAUAGAGUCUGAGUGACCGAAUAGGACCCCGAGAGAACAGCUGAGACUCACCAGAGAGAAAGGGUGGAUUUGUGCUCCACCAAACCGGACGCUUUUUAAUGACCAGUACAGAACAAGAAGCACAGAAGGGUCUGCAUUCUCUACACGGCUAAUUCAACUGUGUGACUUUGUUAGAGGAGAAGGAGGAAGAGGAGGAGGAAGAAGAAGAAAAGGAAGAGGAGAAGGAACAGGAAGAGGAGGAGAAGGAGGAAAGGGUGAGGGAGAAGGAAGAGGAGGAGGAGGAGGAAGAGAACAGUGACUGGAAAGAUGGGUGGGACCACUUUGAAGAACUAUAAACUCUAAACAAAAGAGUCUAUAUUUAAUCCUAGAUUAAAUUUCACUUAACUCUAUUUGCCUCCGUUUUCUCAUUAUAAAAGGAGCUGGAGAAGGAAACACCAAACCACUCUAGUAUCUUUGCCAAGAAAACCCCAAAUAGGGUCAGGAAAAGUCAGAAACUGCUGAAGUAAUUGAAUAACAAUAAAGUUUACAGGAGAGGGAAAAGACA
Molecule: long non-coding RNA, 708 nt
Filed under: Monodelphis domestica (gray short-tailed opossum)
Lineage: Eukaryota; Metazoa; Chordata; Mammalia; Didelphimorphia; Didelphidae
Description: lncRNA (ENSMODG00000035595.2)
Source: RNAcentral